RNAcentral lists this ribosomal RNA (253 nucleotides) under uncultured bacterium. RNAcentral's name for it is "partial 16S ribosomal RNA". It matches the Rfam family "Bacterial small subunit ribosomal RNA", at positions 524 to 776 of the family's 1533-position model. The record is from RNAcentral.
UACGUAGGUGGCAAGCGUUGUCCGGAUUUACUGGGCGUAAAGAGCGCGCAGGCGGUCGUGCAAGUCGCGUGUGAAAGCCCCCGGCUCAACUGGGGAGGGUCACGCGAUACUGCUCGACUCGAAGGCAGGAGAGGGAAGUGGAAUUCCCGGUGUAGUGGUGAAAUGCGUAGAUAUCGGGAGGAACACCAGUGGCGAAGGCGGCUACCUGGCCCAUUCUUGACGCUGAGGCGCGAAAGCUAGGGGAGCAAACGGG